GACGAACGCUGGCGGCGUGCUUAACACAUGCAAGUCGAACGGAAAGGCCCUGCUUGCAGGGUACUCGAUUGGCGAACGGGGGAGUAACACGUGGGUGAUCUGCCCUGCACUUCGGGAUAAGCCUUGGUAACUGGGACUAAUACCGGACAGGAGCCAUUUUUAGUGUGAUUGUUGGAAAGUUUGUUUGGUUUAGGAUGAGGUCGCGGCCUAUCAGCUUGUUCGUGCGGUAAUGGCCUACCAAGGCGGCGACGGGUAGCCGGCCUGAGAGGGUGGACGGCCACAGCGGCACUGAGACACGGACCAGACUCCUACGCGAGGGAGAAGUGGGGAAGAUUGCACAAGGGGCGCGAGCGUGAUGCAGCGACGCCGCGUGCGGGAUGACGGUCUUCGGGUUGUAAACUCAUUUCGCUAGGGCCGAAGCUGUUUGUGACGGUACCUAGAUAAGAAGCACCGGCUAACUACGUG
This 465-nucleotide ribosomal RNA is filed under the name uncultured bacterium. RNAcentral describes it as "partial 16S ribosomal RNA". It matches the Rfam family "Bacterial small subunit ribosomal RNA", at positions 28 to 507 of the family's 1533-position model. The record is from RNAcentral.